RNAcentral lists this ribosomal RNA (253 nucleotides) under uncultured bacterium. RNAcentral's name for it is "partial 16S ribosomal RNA". It matches the Rfam family "Bacterial small subunit ribosomal RNA", at positions 524 to 776 of the family's 1533-position model. The record is from RNAcentral.
UACGUAGGGGGCAAGCGUUGUCCGGAUUUAUUGGGCGUAAAGAGCGUGUAGGCGGCUGGGUAGGUCCGCUGUGAAAACUCGAGGCUUAACCUCGAGACGUCGGUGGAAGCCCUCCAGCUAGAGUCCGGAAGAGGAGAGUGGAAUUCCUGGUGUAGCGGUGAAAUGCGCAGAUAUCAGGAAGAACACCCGUGGCGAAAGCGGCUCUCUGGGACGGUACUGACGCUGAGACGCGAAAGCGUGGGGAGCGAACAGG